GUAGUCACCCGGGUUGCCGCAAGGCCUCUCGGGUAACCUACCACCCUUUGUUUAUUACACUUUGUUGCUUUGGCAAGCCUGCCCUCGGGCUGCUGGCUCCGGCCGGCGAGCGCUUGCCAGAGGACCAAACUCUGUCAUUUAUGUCGUCUGAUUACUAUUUAAUAGUUAAAACUUUCAACAACGGAUCUCUUGGUUCU
RNAcentral lists this unclassified non-coding RNA (197 nucleotides) under rhizosphere metagenome. RNAcentral describes it as "partial ribosomal RNA internal transcribed spacer region". The record is from RNAcentral.